This is a long non-coding RNA of Ruditapes philippinarum (Manila clam), 458 nucleotides long. RefSeq lists it as uncharacterized. The transcript is spliced from 3 exons. The record is from RefSeq and is a predicted model, not a curated record. Lineage: Eukaryota; Metazoa; Mollusca; Bivalvia; Venerida; Veneridae.
UCGAAAAGAAAAACAAAAACAACAACAACUGAACAUGGCGUCCACACCAAAAAGAAAGAAAAAAACAGGAAAAAAGAAGAAAAGGCAGGAAGACGUUGUUGGCUUCUUGCACAGUGUGUCUCCGUUGAAGAAAGUUCCAAACCCACAAAAAGUACAAGUAAAGUUUCAAUGCUGUACAGUACACACUGACUAGUACAGACAAGCAACGGUGGGUUGCAAAGUGGCUACAGAAGACAAUUAAUUGAGAGAGCCAAUGGUAUAAUAACCAAGAAUAUCUUGCAAGUUGGACAUGAGGCAAAACAGGCAAUACUUGAUGUAUAAUUCAGAGACUUUUAGUUGAUGAACUGGUGGGUUACAAAGUGGCUACGUAAGACAAUAAGAGAGAACCAAGAAUAUCUUGAAAGUUGGACAUGAAGCCAGACAGAAAUUCAGAGACUUUAUCCAGUUGAUAAUCUGGU